AUCAAAUCGGAGUACGUCUACAGAGGAUUCGGAGGAGACCAGGCCUUCCGCGAUGAACAGACCAUCUAGGAAAGCAGAUUAAACUCAAGAAGAAUUGUUUUGAAUAAGUUUAACAUUGACCAGUUCAAAGAUGAUGGACAUUUCACUCUCAAAACAAGUCAACAUAUAGGCCUGUUUAGCCACCACCAUCUCUGGAAGCCUGCAGUGAAGGUGUUCAGCUCCUCAUCUGUGCUCCCAGAACACCACGUGCCAACUUCGGCCCCAGGACUCAGUGCAUCGCAUUCCAAUUCCAUCUUCAGGACUUAGAAGAACUGCUAGCCCGGCCAAAUCUCUCUGAAUAAAUAUCUCAUGCUGCCUGAGGAAUAAAUCACGCC
Symphalangus syndactylus (siamang) is the source of this 374-nucleotide long non-coding RNA. RefSeq lists it as uncharacterized. The record is from RefSeq and is a predicted model, not a curated record. Lineage: Eukaryota; Metazoa; Chordata; Mammalia; Primates; Hylobatidae.